GGCGUGUGUGUGUGUGUGUGUGGGGGGGGGUGUUGGUUUAGGGUCUUCUUGAGCCUCUCUGUCCUUGCCCGGAUGAUGCGGAACCUUCUACCAGAUUGUAGAAGUUGGAACAGUUUGUUGCCAGGAUGGGACGGGUCCUUCAGUAUCUGCGCUGCUCUAGUCCGGCAUCUCCUGGUGUAGGUGUCCUGAAGUGGGGGAGAGCAAUCCUGCAGCAGCGUUCUGCUGUACGGAUCACUCUCUGGAGAGCUUUUUGGUCCUUCACACAGCUGUUCCCGAACCACGCUGUCAUGUUCUGUGUGAGGAUGCUCUCCACAGCGCCUGUAUAGAAGAUCCUGAGGAUCUUUGGAGAGACCCUGAACUUCCUUAGUUGUCAGAGGUGAUACAGGCGCUGCCUAGCCUUCUUGGUCUGGACCUGAAUGUGGGCAGCCCCACAGAGAGGCGUCGUCAUGUUAGUUUGCCUAAAUUUUCAAAAGCAGCCAGCGGCUCACCGAAACACACAGGUGUUGUCAUGUCGACUUAGUUUGUCACAAACUGUUGUUGUGGAUUUAUGCUCAUUUGGUGUUUAAAACAGCAACAGGACAAAAGAGUUUAAAUCAACUGCAGUGAUGAUGCUCAUAAAGAAGUCGGCAGUGUGUCAGUAUGGUACCGACUCACUGUGAUGCCUUCAUUAUAUCAAGCCUUAAAUAAUCAGGCAAUGCUUAAGUGUUAUGAAAGUUUGAUUAAGUCGCCUCAGUAAUGAAUUCCUGUUUUGUCUCAUUUUAUCAGAGUAGGUGUUUUAUGAUUGUUUGGACAUGAACGUUUGAGCUCUCGGGUGAAAAACACAUUUUAAAUGACCUGAUAUGAUACAUGUUAACAAAUGAGGAAAACAUUUCUCACACCAUCAUUUUAGUGUUUAUUCAGAGUAGACAGUAACACCAGCAGAAUCACGGUCGUCUGUCUCUGUGAAGAUUCAUGUUUCAACAUUUUUAGCAUCACGGGUCUUCUAUCAGUUUUGCUGCAGCUGUAUUGUUGUGAUGAACAACCUAUAAAGUGUAAAGAGAAAUAAAAAAAUGUAAACGAAUUGCCACAUAUUCUCUCUUCUCUUGUCAGUGCUGUUCCAGAUUAAAUGCUGCUGUCCGACAGUAUAAAAGCUGUGCUGAUGGUGUUUUACCUCUGUGGCAUUUCCAGCAUGAGUAGCAUUAUUUGGAUGCAAGGUCUCGUUCUGAAAUGUGUUGGAUUAUAUUAGUUACAGAUCUUUAAACUUGACCUUUCCCCCAACAUCUAAUUAAAAUAUAACCUGCACAAAAAACCAAAUAAUUUUAUACAUUUUUAUCAUUCUACACCUUACACAUGGACAUAUAAAUAUUGCUUAUUUUUGUGGUGUUUACUUACAUGAGGUGGAGCAGUUGGAAAAGCGGCAGGGUUUUCAAGAGGAUGCCAGUUGCCAGCUUUCUAAAAGAAAAAAUUAAACACACACACAUUUAUAUAUAAUAUUAUAUAAUUUUAUAAUUACUGGUGAAUAACGCCACUCGUGGCAACAGGUUGUGUUUUUGUUUUUUUAACUUACAUCCAAUGGUGGUGCUGCGCCUCCUUCAUGCAGCUGAAAAGAAAGAAAAUGGAUAACGCUUUAAUAGAAUAUCAAUAUACACAUUUUAGUGUUGGAGGUUUUUAUUUUUGCCUUUUUUCCCCUCAGUGCUGGAAGGUCAUUGACAUUUCAAAGCAAACAAAGCAACAUUAAUCAGUUGAUCUCAGAGUCAGCAGCAUGAGACACACUCCAGCUGAUUCUUGGUAAAAAAAAUAAAUAAAUAAAUUAAAAUCAUACUGGACUCUAACUUAAACAGCAGUUAAACAACAGUCCUACCAUAUUAAAGAUGAAAUCUAAACAUUUAUGUAGAUUAUCACUUGUUAUAAGCUCAGUGAGAUUGUUAAUUCUUUUUAAUCAUUUAAUUUCUUCCUUUCAGUAAAUCCAUUAACAUCAAACAGUGACAUGAUAUUUUCUUACCGACGCUGUGAGAAUAAAUCCCACCAAACAGAGCAGGUGCCCGAGGGCGAGCGUCUGGUGGCCGGGCCUUAGUCCAUGGGGCCCGGCCGGGCACAGCCCGAAGAGGAGACAUGGGCCCAUCCUCCCGCAGGCCCACCACCCGCAGGAGGCGCCAUAGGGGUUGGGUGCAUUGUGUGUCGGGCGGCGGCCAGGAGCGGAGGCCCUGGCGGACCGAUCCCCGGCUGCCAAGACUGGCAAUAGGGACAUGGAAUGUCACCUACGGCCAAAUUAAAAUAUAAAAUUAUAAGACAUAAAUAGUGGUCAUGUUUCUGGUGCUGUACCUCUGCAGUACUUACGCUUGUUGGUUCAGUUGGAAAAGAAAGAGGAUUUUCGAGAGGGUGCCAGUGUGCGGUCUAAAAUAGAAAAUAUAUACAAUAAACUAAUAAGAAGCUUGAGCUUGCUCUUUUACAAAUAUCCUUUCAAGUGUGAAAAGAGACAAAAAUAAGUACAGGCAGAAGUUGACACAAAGAAGAAAGAAAUUGUAACAUUUUGCUUCUUCUUUUUGGAUUCUGAGAACUGAAACUGAAUAUGUAAAUUAUGUGAUAAAGGUUUAAAACUAACAAUAGUAACCUCUGUGUGCAGCUGUUUCAUCAUCUGUACUCUAACUACGUAAAACUGAAUCGUUUCUGUCAAAUAAUGACUUUACAUAAUUUUAACACACACAGAAACAUAAAUUACACAGUGACACAGCCAAAAAAGUCAUUAUAUUUGCUUUUGUUUUGAUCAUUUGAGACGCUGUAAAUAGGUGAUUUUUACAACGAAGCAUAACAGUUAAGGUACACAAAAUAACUUUUUUAUUUAUGGCUUCUUUAGUCGUGCAUAAUAGUACUUGUUUUAAAAGUUACAAAAAACACUUUUUGCAAACAAAACAGCAAAGUAAUUAUUCAUCGAAUCUUAGAGGCUCAGCAGCAUGAGCCACACUCCAGCCGAUUCUUAGUGAAAAAAUAUAUUUAAGUCAAGCUUGUGUUUCCAUCUGGUCCAAAAAUUAUAAAACUACAAAAAUCUAAAUAUAUAUGCAUUUAAUUUUUUCUGUUCAGUAACUCUGUGAACAUCCAUCAGUGAUAUGAGUGUCUCUGUGAUGCUGUGAGAAUACAGCAGUGCGAGUCAGGUUAUUUUGUAUUAAUGGUGUAAAUUUGUAAAAGCAGGGAGCAGCUCCCUGUAACACACAGGUGCUGUCAUGUCGAGUUAGUUUGUCACAAACCGUUUUUGUGGAUUUGGUGUUUAAAACAGCAAAAGGACAAAAGAUGGGAAUUUAGAUCAACCACAGUGAUGAUACUCAUGAAGAAGCAAGACAGCAGAGUGUCAGUGUGGCACCGACUCAUUUUGUCAGAAUAGGUGUUUUAUGUGUGUUUGGACAUGAACGUUUAAGCUCUUAAAUGUGUUUAAAAAACACAUUUUAAAUGAUCCUAUAGGAUACAUGUUAACAAAUAAGAAAAUCUUUUUCUCAAAACAUCAUUUUAGUGUUUAUUCAGAGUAGACAGUAACACCAGCAGAAUCACGGUCGUCUGUCUCUGUGAAGAUUCAUGUUUCCACAUUUUUAGCAUCACACGUCUU
Long non-coding RNA from Oreochromis aureus, 3574 nucleotides. The record is from Ensembl. NCBI's taxonomy places the organism in Eukaryota, Metazoa, Chordata, Actinopteri, Cichliformes, Cichlidae.